GCAGCAGCCGCGGUAAUACGAGGGGGGCAAGCGUUGUUCGGAAUUAUUGGGCGUAAAGGGUGCGUAGGCGGUUUGGCAAGUCUUGUGUGAAAUCUUCGGGCUCAACCCGAAGCCUGCACGAGAAACUGCCGGGCUUGAGUAUUGGAGAGGUGAGUGGAAUUUCCGGUGUAGAGGUGAAAUUCGUAGAUAUUGGGAAGAACACCGGUGGCGAAGGCGGCGACCUGGUCCUUGACUGACGCUGAGGCGCGUAAGCGUGGGGAGCAGACAGGAUUAGAUACCCGAGUAGUCCCUGUCUCUUAUAC
RNAcentral lists this ribosomal RNA (302 nucleotides) under uncultured bacterium. RNAcentral's name for it is "partial 16S ribosomal RNA". It matches the Rfam family "Bacterial small subunit ribosomal RNA", at positions 508 to 807 of the family's 1533-position model. The record is from RNAcentral.